RNAcentral lists this ribosomal RNA (500 nucleotides) under uncultured bacterium. Its description in RNAcentral is "partial 16S ribosomal RNA". It matches the Rfam family "Bacterial small subunit ribosomal RNA", at positions 30 to 523 of the family's 1533-position model. The record is from RNAcentral.
AUUGAACGCUGGCAGCAUGCCUUACACAUGCAAGUCGAACGGCAGCACGGGAGCAAUCCUGGUGGCGAGUGGCGAACGGGUGAGUAAUAUAUCGGAACGUGCCCAGUCGUGGGGGAUAACGUAGCGAAAGCUACGCUAAUACCGCAUACGAUCUACGGAUGAAAGCGGGGGAUCGCAAGACCUCGCGCGAGUGGAGCGGCCGAUAUCAGAUUAGGUAGUUGGUGAGGUAAAGGCUCACCAAGCCGACGAUCUGUAGCUGGUCUGAGAGGACGACCAGCCACACUGGGACUGAGACACGGCCCAGACUCCUACGGGAGGCAGCAGUGGGGAAUUUUGGACAAUGGGCGCAAGCCUGAUCCAGCAAUGCCGCGUGCAGGAUGAAGGCCUUCGGGUUGUAAACUGCUUUUGUACGGAACGAAACGGCGAACUCUAAUACAGUUUGCUAAUGACGGUACCGUAAGAAUAAGCACCGGCUAACUACGUGCCAGCCGCCGCUGUAA